Molecule: ribosomal RNA, 440 nt
Filed under: uncultured bacterium
Lineage: Bacteria
Description: bacterial SSU rRNA
Rfam family: Bacterial small subunit ribosomal RNA
Source: RNAcentral
CCUACGGGAGGCAGCAGUGAGGAAUAUUGGACAAUGGGCGAGAGCCUGAUCCAGCCAUGCCGCGUGCAGGAAGACUGCCCUAUGGGUUGUAAACUGCUUUUAUACGGGAAGAAACCCACCUACGUGUAGGUGGCUGACGGUACCGUAAGAAUAAGGAUCGGCUAACUCCGUGCCAGCAGCCGCGGUAAUACGGAGGAUCCAAGCGUUAUCCGGAAUCAUUGGGUUUAAAGGGUCCGUAGGUGGAUAAUUAAGUCAGAGGUGAAAUCCUGCAGCUCAACUGUAGAAUUGCCUUUGAUACUGGUUAUCUUGAAUUAUUGUGAAGUGGUUAGAAUAUGUAGUGUAGCGGUGAAAUGCAUAGAUAUUACAUAGAAUACCAAUUGCGAAGGCAGAUCACUAACAAUAUAUUGACACUGAUGGACGAAAGCGUGGGGAGCGAACAG